RNAcentral lists this ribosomal RNA (337 nucleotides) under Allantion sp. RNAcentral's name for it is "SSU rRNA". The stretch from base 122 to 337 matches the Rfam family "Eukaryotic small subunit ribosomal RNA", at positions 743 to 955 of the family's 1831-position model. Lineage: Eukaryota; Cercozoa; Glissomonadida; Allapsidae. The record is from RNAcentral.
GAUUUCUGACAUUAAUGCGCUUAAUCCGCCACGGUUACGUGUGUGAGUGUUGAGUCGUGUUUGUCAUCCUUCUAGAAUAUAGAUAUUAUUAGCUCUUCAUUGAGUUAUUUUAUCACUUGUUCUAGAUCUUUUACUUUGAAAAAAUUAGAGUGUUUAAAGCAGGCAGUGUUUGCUAUGAAUACAUUAGCAUGGAAUAAUAAUUUAGGACUAUCAGUUCUAUUUUGUUGGUCUUUUAGAACUGAAGUAAUGAUUGAUAGGGAUAGUUGGGGGUGCUCGUAUUCAGUGGCCAGAGGUGAAAUUCUCGGAUUCCCUGAAGACGAACUUAUGCGAAAGCAUU